RNAcentral lists this long non-coding RNA (954 nucleotides) under Zea mays. Its description in RNAcentral is "drought responsive lncRNA". The record is from RNAcentral. Lineage: Eukaryota; Viridiplantae; Streptophyta; Magnoliopsida; Poales; Poaceae.
GGGGAUGCACAAACGACGACGACCUUCGAUUGAAGUCUGGGGUAAGCUAGUGAGGUGGAGAUCGAGCCGGGGAUGACGUGUUUGACGACUCGACGGCAAACGACGAGAUCGACGACGCGAUUGGGAAUUAAAGCCGAGCGAGCCGAGAGGACACGCUGGCGAGCAAAAAACCGCGCGAGCACCGGAUAGGAAAAACGACGAUGUUGUCGCACACAGUGCGAAGGCGAACGACGCAACGACGAGGACCUAGGAUGUGCGACACACGACACGCAAUCAGCCUGUCGCGUCGCGACAACAGCCGAGUGCGGUAAGGGGCUGGAAAACGACGACGGGCCAAACAGAGGAGCUCGCGUAGGACAAACUCGGCACGACGGCCAUGGACGAGGUGAGCGAGCUUAGCACGACAGAGGACUCGGCGCGCGGCAGGAAAAGGGCUCGAGCACGAACACGGCAGGCGAGCAGAGGGGCUGGGCAGAGGGAUCUUCUUUGACCAGAGCCGUGCGACGCAGUCCAAGCUGAGGCAGGGGCGAGCUCCAUGGCGAGCUCGAGGGAGAUGAAGAAAGGGGGCGAUUGGGCAGGGAGAUGCGCACGCGGUGAUGGGAGCAGGGAGCGCGCUGAGCCGGGUCCAAGCACCAGGGAGCUGCUCGCGGCCGGAGCUGAGCAGAGGGACACGCGCCGGAGCUAGGAGCUGAGCGUCGGCCACAGAGAAAUAUAGGGGGCGCGCGACGAACUUGAGAAAGGCUGGAGAACGAGCUGGGAAGGUGGGCGCGCUGGAAGAGUAGGAGCCAGGGAGAAUCGACGGCGGCCGCAGAGACCAAAGGCGCACGCGAUUUUUAUCCCGCGAUGGCUGAAAAAAUCAACAGGGCGACGGGAUUCUCUUCCACGAGCUUGAGCGGUGCAGGGAUAAGCCCCACGGCAGCGGAUAGGAUCACGGGGAAGAGAGAACGCCUGAAA